Mauremys mutica (yellowpond turtle) is the source of this 3600-nucleotide long non-coding RNA. RefSeq lists it as uncharacterized. The transcript has 3 exons. The record is from RefSeq and is a predicted model, not a curated record. Lineage: Eukaryota; Metazoa; Chordata; Testudines; Geoemydidae.
AGCUGCCGCAACGCAGGCUUUUGUGAGGGGCAUACGAGCAGCCGAUUGGCUGCUCCCGGUUGCCCCGGCGAUCGGUGCGGCUCGCGCGCGCCUCACAAUGAUGUGGCGAGAGGGGGGAGACAGAGCAAGGUGAUUCACCCCCGAAGAAACAGCUGUUGGACCUUGGGAGAAGAUCCAUACCUGAAACUUGUUCAGAAAUGCUAGUGAAAACCUGUGAAGAGGUUCAACAAGAGCAGAAGCACUACAGACUUCUCCAAACUGCUUUUCGAAGACACCUUAACACUGACCAGGAGGCACCACUGAAGGGGUGAAAAUAGUCUGGUUUCCAGUAGCAUGCAGCUGCUUUUGGCCUCUCUUCUGAGACUACCAGCUAGCAUGGCCAAUUAGUGGGAUAUAAUUGUGGUGGGAUUUUUACUCUUCUGGGAGCUGGAUUGGAAUUAUCAUCACAUUUCACAUAGGCCUCCAAAGAGCCAACUGAGUUAACAACUACUGGACACUUCUGAACUGGGAAAGAUCUAAAACAGUGACCUAAUGGAAAGAGGCAGCAAAUCCCCUUACCAACCAGUCCUAUGUGUGACAUUUAUUAAUCACAAGCAUCUACCCUAAAUUUCCAUCUCUGUUAAAACUCACUUUUGGUAGUAACUCUACAAUUGCUAUUUUUGCUAAACAUGAAGAAACAAACUAUUUCCACGGACUAGUUUUCAAAUAACGAAGAUAGACUAGCAACACAAUCAGUCCACAAUGUAUGAUCUUACAAUUCCAGUGAGAUACACGUAUCUUUAUCUCCCAGAACAGAUUGGCCUCUCUUCCUGUUUUUAAUAUGAUACAGAAAGCUAACCCAAGCAGUGUCUUGAGUCUCAAAACAAAGUCCUUUCCUUAGCAAUAUUCUUAGCCGAAGGAAUAGUUGGAACCAAAAUUGGUGGCAUUCUGACAUCUGAAAUGCAGAAUGGUGACUUGUGCAUGACUGGCAGUGGCACAAGGACUGAAAAACACCCCUUGGAGAUGUGGAAAAUUCUGCCAAGAAUUGGCUGGUGGGGAUGGAGGAGGAAAAGAGACCUGCAUUACCUUCCCAUGAAUAGCUGGUUGGUAGGGAUGAGAUGUGUGCUGGAAAUCAAAUAGCUACUGUGAUAUUAGAGGUGCCUUUUUAGCAAGGGCAAGAGGGUAGGGGCAGGUCACUACUAGCAAUAGGGGAGAAGGGUAAGAGCUGCUUAUCUGCAACGGGAGGGCAGCAGAAUCCUCCUGCUUGGAAGAAGGGGAGGGCAAGAGGCCCAGGACUUGAUGGUUGCCAGUCUUAAAAUGUCCCACCUAUGUUCUGAAGCAAAAAAAUUUGACCUUUGUUACUUUUCAGUACCUGAGGUUUAGGGAUGUCUCAGCUUCAGCAUUGUGACCCCAGCACACAAGCUUCAGCAGAACGCAACAGCAACAAGGUUAAAUUAAUGUUGUCUACUUUGGUUCAGUUGUUGCUGAUGGCUGAUAACUAGUACAAUAAAACUUUACUGCAUUUGGGAGAUUAGUGUGGAGGACAAUCCUGACGUCAUGCAGGGAGAAAAUAAAGCACUAGACAGAUUCCCAAACUAUUGGCUCACCUACCACCUUGCAAAAAAUGGUUGUGAAGGGCAUUGAUGGAACAUCAAACUCACGUACCACCAGUGGUAUAUGUAUCAGGUUUUGAGAAUCCCAGACUAGAAGACCCAGGAGUUCCCUUCUAACUUUAUCUUCUAGGUAAUAGGAGAAAGGAUAUUAACACCCAGCUUACUUCCAGAUUGUGUGGGAUGGCUGUCACAAAACCAAUGCCGUCUGGUAGGUCAUGAUACAGCUAUAUGAACGAGUCUCGGGUGUGGACUGGUGUAAAUGGACACAGAGGCUUUUGUGUCUAAGUCACAAAUUAGAACGUGGUCCAGGUCAAUAGGGAACAAAAUGCUAUACAUGUAUAUUUGAUCCAUGCAAAAUGAGUAUGGUGGCCUGUGUUCUGCAGAAGGCCAGACCAGAUGAUCACAGUGGUACAUUCUGGCCUUGAAAUCUAUGAAUUUUUUGACAAAAUGCUUAGUCCCUGGGAAAUAUCAGUUUGUCAAAAGUGAGAACGUACUGGAUUUCACAAAAAUGUAGUUGAUCAUUGACUUGAACCCAGUUCUUCCACAUCCCAGUUGACCACCAGUCUAGUAGUUAUUCUACAGCUUGGGGAUUUCUCCCAAUCUCUCCUGUUGGAACUGUUCCACUUUGUGUAUGCUAAAUAGUCACUGGAGCAGGGACUUCAACCUGACUCAUGCCCGGGGCACUGGAACUGGGUGUGUGUGUGUGUGUGUGCAGAGGGGUCCUACCCCCCCCCUUUUAAAAGUAGGAGGGCCAUGGCCCCCCCACUUUUUAACAUGGGCAUAGUUUGGAGGGCAAGGGGGUAGCAUUGCCCCCCAACAACUGCAAGCCUCGAUCUGUCAUGAAGUGGUGUCAGCAGAGGCUGCGCUUCACAGCAGGAUGAACCUCUUCCCUCCAAGGCCCUGCCCCUGGCCAGGCCAGAAGCUGGAGUUGGGUAAUGGUAAGAGUCACCCAGGAAGCCCAGGCCACUGUGGAGAGCCCUGGAACCUCAACCUGCUCUGGGCAGCACGGGCCAGGGGCCGCUCUCAGGCCCCCCGCCUCCCCACCCCCACCCAGGGCAGAUGGAGGGUCCAACAAUGGCCUGGGCUCUCUGGGCGGCUGUUACCACUGCCUGGCUCUAGCUUUUAGCCUGGCCAGGGGCACGGCCCAGGUGCACCAGAGAGCGGCAGCUGGGCAGUGGUAAGAGAGCAGAGGUUGGAGAGCGGCAGCAGCUAUGUAGGGGGUGCUAAGGAAAAUUUUGAGUUGGCGAUAGCCCCUGCAAAUACCCCGCAGCACCACAUCUGCCCAAGGCUUGCAGUUUGGGGGGCAAUGCUGGCCCCGGCCCUCAAAACUUUGCCCAUGUUAAAAAGUGGGGGACAUGGCCUCUUGGUCCCCUCGGUUCUGGUGCUGGUGGCCCCCCCAACUUCUACAGAGGUUCCGGUGCCCCUGACUCACGCACAACACAGGGGAGUGCCUUAGCCCAGGGGUUAAGGAGUCAGUCUCUGCCUCACCUCUUCUGGCCCCAUGAUUAUUUAAAUUUAUACAAAGUAGAAUGAGAGAGAGAGAGAGAAAUCACUGCUCCCCCCCCCACACAAUAACCAAGAUAUUCACCUGGGCUGUAGGAAAUAAGGGUUCAGAUCCUUACUCUGGAUCAGGCAGAGUGGGACUACAAACUCGCGUGGGUACCCAGACCAGCAGGCUGUUAGCUACCCUGGGGCAUGUGUGCCCGCUAUCCUUUAUUGAUGAAAAUCGUUGAAAGGUCUCGCUUUUGUUCCAGUGCAGAAUGGGAAAUUUUAGAACUCCUGAAAAUUUUCACAUGAUGGAAAAAGUUCCCCCCCUGCAAGCUCUAGUUUGGACCAUUAAUCAUGCACAUGGUCUUUCUGCUGUACCUACAGAACUCUUGCUAAAUCUAUGGCAUUGCAGCAGGCACAGCAAGAGACCUACAUCCCUAGGUAUACAAGAGGGCUCCCAAAUCUAGCACGGACUACACCCUACUUGUGUAUAUUUCUCUCCCUUACCGCCUCCAAAGUA